GGAAAGCCUGGCUGAUGUUUUGACGUGCCGAAAUUUACCAUGGCAAUGCCCACGUUAUGAUCCACCAAGAAAACCCGAAAAUCCUCAGAAGAAACCGACGGCCCACUAUCACCAAAAUGCCAUUCAUGCUCUGUCAUAAUUACAACAUCACCCUUUCGUGCACAGCGGCAGAAUCUACUAGGAGGACAUUUCCGGAAAUUAGUCCAAGAAAUUCGAUGGUUUCGAGAGCCAAGCUUCCUUAGCCCACCAACAGCCAAAACAAUGGAAACCCUAGGCGAUAUAGAGCACAAAAUUGAGAGAGAGAUGGAAGAGACGCAACUUCUCUUAAUUAUUCAUUGCAUUUUCACGUGAUUGCGUCCUUUAAUUUCUCUCUGUCUCUCUUCUCUUAUUCUCUAGUGAUCGAAUUUCAAAUACGAUCCUUUUCAGCUUCAAAUCAAUUCUCUCACAUCAAAAAAGCGAUAGAUAGGGGAAAAUUCGCUAUUUUUUCACCCUCAAGCUUCAGUCUCAAUGUCUAGGAGGGUGCUUUGUAAGUUCUUUGCACAUGGAGCAUGUUUAAAAGGGGAGCAUUGUGAGUUUUCACAUGACUGGAAAGAUCCACCAAAUAAUAUUUGCACCUAUUAUCAAAGAGGAAUCUGCUCUUAUGGCAGCCAAUGCAGAUAUGAACAUGUUAAACCAUCUAGGUCAGAUCUUGCUUCUUCUUCAACAACAACUCCUCAGCAAUCUAUGGUAUCAACUUCUGUUCCUGUGGUCCAUCCUGUGAGAACUGGAUUUAGCAGGGGAACAUCAGUCCCAGGUGCUUCUGGAGAGCUUUCUGCUUCAAGUAGACCUUACUUUCCUCCCACCAAGCCAGCAUGGAAUUUGGUGUUUGCGCCUAACAACAUUUUAGAAAAUGGUGGCAUUAUAGAACCUAGGAAUGUUAAACCAGAAGGCCAUUCUCUCUGUUCAUUUGCUGCUGCUGGUAAUUGCCCCCGUGGAGUUAAAUGUCCUCAUAUUCAUGGUGACAUUUGCCCCACUUGUGGGAAACAUUGCUUGCAUCCUUUCAGACCAGAAGAAAGAGAGGAACAUUUGAAAACAUGUGAGAAGAAGCAAAAGCACCUUGAGGCAUUAAAACGUAGUCAAGAGAUUGAGUGCUGUGUAUGCCUAGAUCGUGUUCUUUCAAAGCCUACGGCAGCUGAACGAAAAUUUGGGCUGUUAUCAGAAUGUGAUCAUCCCUUCUGUAUAUCCUGUAUUAGGAACUGGCGUAGCAGCGCCCCUACUUCUGGAAUGGAUGUCAAUACUGCAUUGAGGGCUUGCCCUAUAUGCCGCAAGCUGUCAUAUUUUGUUGUUCCAAGUGUCCUUUGGUAUUCCUCUAAAGAAGAAAAGCAGGAAAUUAUUGAUAGCUACAAGGCAAAACUAAGGUCUAUAGACUGCAAGUAUUUUGACUUUGGGAAUGGGAACUGCCCCUUUGGGACAAGUUGUUUUUACAAGCAUACUGUCAAGCCAGGCUCAUACACGUGGAAAUAUCACAGACCUCCUCCACGGAGACCACGUCCUCGCAGAACCAGUUUUGUGGAUAAUAUGACAUUGUUUGAUGUUUUUGAACACUUAUUUGAAGAAGAUGAACUGGACAUCUUUGAUGCUGAGGAUUAUUUUGAUGAAGAUGAUAUGGCUUUUUUAUUAAUGCAGAUGGAUAUUGGAUCAGGCGACACCUCCAGUGAUGAUGAAAACUAUCUCUUUUAAGCUAUUAGCUUUAGCCAUAUUGCAAACUUUUCAUUCUUCUGCUGGAAUUUUGAAGUUGGUGGCUUUGGACGUCUUAGUAUUUUAAGCAUUUUGGAAUAUAUGAAGCUUGUAGUUUGUCUCUUAUAAGCCCAUGUUCUGUGUUAUGUUUAGACAAUGAGUAUUCAAAGUAAAUCUAUGGUGCCUGCCAGGACAUUGGUUCCAUCUAUUUAUAUGUUUGUAGCAUUAUGGUGUGGAAGAUAAACAGCCUGGAAAUGUGUUUGUUGGUUGAUGUAUUGUCAUUAGCUCAACUGAAGGCUUAGAGCACAUGCUUAUACUUUAGCUAUAUAAUAUAUAAUGAAAAGGUUGAAAUUCUUAGAGUUUUGAUCACUCCGAAUUUAUUAAUUUUUUGUUUCUCAGAAAAUUUCAUGCUGCCUUAAAGUUUAUAUUAAUGCCUUUUUUAGGCUGAUUUGUGCUGUAGAAACUUUCACAAUGAGCAGUAAUUCUUAAAUACUUGGAAGCCAUUGUUGAAGAAGAAAUGCAUUUUGUGUUGGAUUUCCUACUAGUCUUCUUUUUUAGCCUACUAAAUCUUUUCUUUCAGGGAGGAUGGAAGUUUUUUAUGCUAAAUGAUAAUAGUUGUCAUAUUGAGAAGUUGCUCUAUUUUCUUUCUUUCUUUUUUAAUUUUUUGGUACCUUGGAGGAAUGGCAAAGUGAAAUUUGCUUUCUACUGUACAAGGAAAUAAUAAUGUGGUUUUGUGCCUAAAGAAAAAAAUUGUAGCAACUAUUAUGUCAUCACAUGGAUGGGCCAUUAUGGAUAAAACAUUUUGUUGGAAGCUAUAUUAAUACUUAUGGUUUGUGACUUAUUUAACAACAAAUGAUGUUAUGCAGUAGCACAUUAUUCUCAUAAUUCCCAUUUGAAUAAAUAAAAUUAUUCCUUAUGUGCUGGUUUGCUUGGAAUUGCCAGUCAGUGGGGCCUUGAAAGGUAUAUAUUUAAGGUAUUCGAACUUUGCAGCAUGCAUAUGAAGAUGGCCGUGUGGAGGAAGUUGCAUCGCGUCAUCUUGGGGCUGAAGAUGGAAAUACUGUGAUCGCCAAAAAUAUCAGGUUUGAUGGAAGACUUUCUUACCCUUAUGCUUCAUAACCAAAUGAUUGCAGUCUCAUUUUCAAUUGCUCUCUUAUUGUUGUAUUUUUAUUUGAUAAAUAUAUUGUACUUUCAGGCUUUCAGAUUUCCUUGGUAGCUUGCAAAUAAGUUGAAUCACGCUGCUUAAUAAUUCCUGUGUAAGUGUAAGUGUGAAUUAAUAACUUCCUUUUUUCUGAUCACUGAUUUUAAGUGUGUGCAUGUGCGGACAAUUGCACGUGUGCAGUUGCAUGCAUAGGAACACUUUUACAUGCAUGCAUGAUCAACCAAAAGUAUUCUAGUUACUUUAACCCUGCUAUCUUGAAAUAUGCAGGUUAUCAGAUAAUGCAAACAUAUUUAUAUUUUCAACUUGUGAAAGGUCUUCAAUUUCCUGUGUCAAGCUCUUGUUUUUUGUGAGGUAAAAGGCCAUUGUUUUAUAAGUAUGGUAUUCCAUUCUGACAGUUCAUUUUUCUGAGGACCAUUAUCUUGCAGGGAUUUUUCUGUGGCCUCAAUAUACCUGCAAUGUUUCCAUUUCCUCUUUACAUCCUUCCGUUUGGAGAUUAGAAUUUUCAAGAAUUCAAUUUAAUCGAUUUCUUUUUUAUCAAUUCUUAUGUUUGGA
RNAcentral lists this unclassified non-coding RNA (3427 nucleotides) under Hevea brasiliensis (rubber tree). The record is from RNAcentral. Lineage: Eukaryota; Viridiplantae; Streptophyta; Magnoliopsida; Malpighiales; Euphorbiaceae.